Non-coding RNA from Hydra vulgaris (swiftwater hydra), 193 nucleotides. The record is from RefSeq and is a predicted model, not a curated record. NCBI's taxonomy places the organism in Eukaryota, Metazoa, Cnidaria, Hydrozoa, Anthoathecata, Hydridae.
UAUUUAUUUAGAAUUAUAUAGACUAUUGUAUGAAACGUUUAAUGUAAAUAUUACUCACUAUAUAUUAAUAUAUGGAAUAAUUCUUUAGAAUCCAAUAAUUAAGCUGAGAUGUCGUCAGAAGAGUCGGAGCCAACUCGCUCAAGAUCAUGUGGAUCAAAGAAAAAAUUAAAGAAAAGGGAAGAGGUUUUGUCGU